GGAGGUUCAAGUCCUCCCAGGCCCACCAAUUUACCUAUCCAUUUGCCUUUAUCCGUUUAUUUGCCGAUUUAUCGGUCCAUUGAAUUUAAGUGUUGGUAGCGGUUUUUAUAAUGAUGAGAAAUCAUGCUUAUAAAAGAACUCCUUAUAAAAGGCUUGUUUUUAAAAUGUGACGCUUAUCCAUUUCGCUUAGGCAAGAGAAACUUCAAGCGGUUCCAAUGCAAAAGGCUUUAAAUUUUGCAAAACACUUUGAAUUUUAAAGUGAUCCAAGUUCGUGAUCUCGAAUUUAAAAGUUUCGAAUGCUUUAUCCUUUUUGGGGGGC
This 319-nucleotide unclassified non-coding RNA is filed under the name uncultured Bartonella sp. RNAcentral describes it as "partial 16S-23S ribosomal RNA intergenic spacer". Lineage: Bacteria; Pseudomonadati; Pseudomonadota; Alphaproteobacteria; Hyphomicrobiales; Bartonellaceae. The record is from RNAcentral.